RNAcentral lists this ribosomal RNA (471 nucleotides) under uncultured bacterium. RNAcentral describes it as "bacterial SSU rRNA". It matches the Rfam family "Bacterial small subunit ribosomal RNA", at positions 355 to 825 of the family's 1533-position model. The record is from RNAcentral.
UGGGGAAUUUUGGACAAUGGGCGAAAGCCUGAUCCAGCAAUGCCGCGUGCAGGAAGAAGGCCUUCGGGUUGUAAACUGCUUUUGUACGGAACGAAAAGGCUCUUUCUAAUAAAGAGGGCCCAUGACGGUACCGUAAGAAUAAGCACCGGCUAACUACGUGCCAGCAGCCGCGGUAAUACGUAGGGUGCGAGCGUUAAUCGGAAUUACUGGGCGUAAAGCGUGCGCAGGCGGUUCUAUAAGACAGAUGUGAAAUCCCCGGGCUCAACCUGGGAAUGGCAUUUGUGACUGUAGAGCUAGAGUACGGUAGAGGGGGAUGGAAUUCCGCGUGUAGCAGUGAAAUGCGUAGAUAUGCGGAGGAACACCGAUGGCGAAGGCAAUCCCCUGGACCUGUACUGACGCUCAUGCACGAAAGCGUGGGAGCAAACAGGAUUAGAUACCCAAGUAGUCCCUGAGCGGGCUGGCAAGGCGCAU